This 3033-nucleotide ribosomal RNA is filed under the name Lupinus angustifolius (narrow-leaved blue lupine). Its description in RNAcentral is "bacterial LSU rRNA". The stretch from base 9 to 2184 matches the Rfam family "Bacterial large subunit ribosomal RNA", at positions 15 to 2044 of the family's 2925-position model. The record is from RNAcentral. Lineage: Eukaryota; Viridiplantae; Streptophyta; Magnoliopsida; Fabales; Fabaceae.
CGAAAAGAAUGCAUUGGAUGGAUGCCCGAGCAUUGAGAAGGAAGGACGCUUUCAGAGGCGAAAGGCCAUGGGGAGAUACCAUAUGUGAUACAUGGAUCUCCGAUCGGGAAACUGUAUCCAAGCUCCACAACUAGUCUGCGCUCUUUGGAGUUUUAAAACUUAGCAAACUGAAACAUCCUAGUAGCUAAAGGAAGAGAUAUCAACAGAGACCCCGUUAGUAGCGGCGAGCGAGAGCGGAUGGGGCUUUGAAGAAAAAGAAAAACGAAGCUUCGUUUCUCUUUCGAGUAUGAUAAAUUCCUCAGCAACAAAGUAUUCACUUCUUUUUCGCUUCAUUCGAUUUGUUGUGGAUUAGAUGAUAGAAAAACCAACAAGCCCAUUUCAUUGAAAGGGCACAGUGAACUUGAAUUGUGAAAGGGUUGGAAAAUCUGGAUAAAGAAGGUAAUAGCCUAGUAUAUUUGUUCCCAUGGUUCGAUCCUUCCCAGUAAAACGUGACGUAUUCGAAUUCUGAUCGCUUUUAUGUGAUAAAGGGGGACCACCCUCUAAGCCUAACUAUUCCUCAAUGAUCGAUAGCGUACAAGUACCGUAAGGGAAAUGUGAAAAGAACCCUAUUUAGGGAGUGCAAUAGAGAACCUGAGAUCCGAUGUGAACAAACAGUCAAAGGAGUAGAGCUGCAAGCCUUUACUUUAGAUUCUUUUAGUAAAAUGCACUCACUCUAACGGCGUACCUUUUGCAUGAUGGGUCAGCGAGAAAAUGGGAACAUCGGCUUAAGCCAUUAGGUUUAGGUGCUUUUCAGAGGUGGAAUAUUAUACUUCUUCCUAUUUGACCAGAAACUAAUCGAUCUAGCCAUGACCAGGUUGAAAAGAGCUCUAACAGGCCUUGGAGGAUUGAACCCACGUAUGUGGCAAAAUACGGGGAUGACUUGUGGCUAGGGGUGAAAGGCCAACCAAGAUCGGAUAUAGCUGGUUUUCCGCAAAAUCUAUUUCAGUAGAGUGUAUGAUGUCGAUGACCCGAGGUAGAGCACCCAAUGGGCUAGGGUGGCCUUAUUUCACCUUACCAACCCUAGGGAAACUCCAAAGAUAGGCCUAGAACGUUUGUACAGACAGACUUUUAUGGUGCUAAGAUCCAAAGUCGAGAGGGAAACAACCCAGAUUGUACGCUAAGGUCCCUAAGCAAUCACUUAGUGGAAAAGGACGUGAUCGAGCAAUGACAACCAGGAGGUGGGCUUAGAAGCAGCCAUCCUUUGAAGAAAGUGUAAUAGCUCACUGGUUUAGCUCCAUGGCACCGAAAAUGUAUCAGGGCUCAAGUGAUUCACUGAAGCGACGAGACCUUGAAAGUUAUUCAAGUGUUAGUAUCGGGACGUUCUGUCAAUCGGGGAAGCUUUUUGGUGACAAGACCUAGAGAUAUCAAAAGUGAGAAUGCUAACAUGAGUAACGAUAAAUCUUAUGAAAAACAUGACCGCCUGCCAAUGGAAGGCUUUAUGUGUUCAGUCAAUCUACACAGAGAUGAACCCAUCUUCCCCUCACUCUCAUUUCCCUAAGAUGAACCUUGAGUCAUCAAAGCCUUUUUGACUCGGCCUAGCCCGGUCGCCCUACGCGACUGGCGCUUCAAAAGGUAGUUAACUUGCUUACUCGUUAGAGUAGGGGUCAUGAGAGAGCAGAGUGUAUCGCUUGCCAUAGUAGUGAGUCUGCUUAUAGUCACGACUGUUGUCAUAGUCAACAAGGUUGAAACUUCCAGGAAAAAACUUUGAAAUGGGAUGGCAAUCCUCCCGCCCGGAAUCGGAAGAACUGACCGUACCCCAAACCGACACAGGUGAACAAGUAGAGUAUACUAGGGCGCUUGAGAGAACCAUGUCGAAGGAACUCGGCAAAAUGACCCCGUAACUUCAGAAUAAGGGGUGCUCUCCUAACUUUUGAUUAGGAAAGCGGCACAUACCAGGGGCUAGCGACUGUUUAUUAAAAACACAUGACUCUGCUAAGAGGUAACACAAUGUAUAGAGUCUAACACCUGCCCGGUGCUGGAAGGUCAAAAGGAGAAGUCUUAUAAGAAUUGAAUGGAAGCCCUGGUAAACGGCAGUUGUAACUCUAACUGUCCUAACGUAGUGAAAUUCCUUGUCGCAUAAGUAGCAACUUGCACGAAUGGUGUAACGACUGCCCUGCUGUCUCUGACAUGGACCCAGUGAAAUUGAAUUCUCCGUGAAGAUGCAGGCUACCAACAGCUAGACAAUAAGACCCCGUGCACCUUAACUAUAGCUUCAUGUAACUCCCCGAAAAUCAUUUCAUAUUUAAUAUAUUUAAUCUCUUAGAAAAAUGGGUAAAUUUUUAUUUCCUUUUUUUUGUAACCUAUAACUUACAAAUCAUUUUCACUUUUACCUUAUUCCAUUUUCAAGACAUCACAUUUUCAAACCUUGUAGAAAUAAAAUUCUUAAUACAUUGAAGAUAAUUAAAUGAACACAAUUCUUUUCUGAAUACUUCUCAUUCAUAAAAUUCUUGAAUAAAUACAGAAUUGUCUAUAAGGCAAAAUCUAAUCAUCACCACAAAUAAAAAAUGAAAAUACAAAGAAAAUAAUGUUGGGGCAUUGACAUUACAAAAAGUACCUCACAUAGGUUCUUAUCACAACAAAACAAAGUAGACACCUCCUAAACCGGACAUGCACUGGAAGCCUCGCUAGGGUUCUCCUCCACCUCCGACUUAGAAGUGAUCUCAAUGACCUCAACUGAAUCUUCAAUGCAGAUAAGCUCUACACAGUCGUCAUUGUCUUCCUCCUCCUCCACUUCAUCCGCUCCCCAAUCCAUCAGGGGGUCCGGGGUGAACCCCCUUGGCAUGGCCCCGUCUUUCUCUCUUGGCGUUGAUCCUGAUGAUGAGAAUCAUGUUUGGGGCCAGGUCCUAACAACUUCUGGUACGCCUCGAGCUUCAGCCGGUAUAGAAAGUUCGUCGGUUGUAGGUCUUCUGUCGGGAAAAGUGAAUGAUGCCUCCCGAAGUGCGUAGUAAGGUGAAAGAUGUAGAACUAAGUCAUUGCUUACCCAAUCCAGCUUCU